Molecule: ribosomal RNA, 406 nt
Filed under: uncultured rumen bacterium
Lineage: Bacteria
Description: bacterial SSU rRNA
Rfam family: Bacterial small subunit ribosomal RNA
Source: RNAcentral
GUGGGGAAUAUUGCACAAUGGGCGAAAGCCUGAUGCAGCAACGCCGCGUGAAGGAUGAAGGUCUUCGGAUCGUAAACUUCUGUCCUUGGGGAAGAAGAUCUGACGGUACCCAUGGAGGAAGCCCCGGCUAACUACGUGCCAGCAGCCGCGGUAAUACGUAGGGGGCAAGCGUUAUCCGGAAUUAUUGGGCGUAAAGAGUGCGUAGGUGGUUCUUUAAGCGAGAGGUUUAAGGCGAUGGCUUAACUAUCGUUCGCCUCCCGAACUGAAGGACUUGAGUGCAGGAGAGGAAAGCGGAAUUCCUAGUGUAGCGGUGAAAUGCGUAGAUAUUAGGAGGAACACCAGUGGCGAAGGCGGCUUUCUGGACUGAAACUGACACUGAGGCACGAAAGCGUGGGGAGCAAACAGG